Molecule: long non-coding RNA, 587 nt
Organism: Pomacea canaliculata
Lineage: Eukaryota; Metazoa; Mollusca; Gastropoda; Architaenioglossa; Ampullariidae
Exons: 4
Source: RefSeq, a predicted model, not a curated record
GUAAGGAAGACAAGAACAAGUAGACAGUGUUGCACCUGUAGGCAUUCAAAAGCUUGUUAAUAAGAAUGUUGACACAUGAGGGUCAGUUAAUAUUUUCUUGAUCUUCAGCGCAGUAUUUGUCGUAUCUCACAAACCACAUACAAAAAAGAAACAUGAAACAGAAGAUGCUCGUGUUAUUUAUUACAUAUCUGUGGACUGGAAUUUCCGGUGGACAAGGUGCAGAUCACAACUGUGUGUUGGAAUACAAAAAGGGCUGUGUGAGUAAGGUGAUCAGCAAAUUUGAAGAGAAAAUCAUCAAACAGGAAAAGGAAUUCACUGUGUAUUAUAAAAUUCCGCAGAAAGAAGAGGCUAUUGCAGAAUGUGACUGGGCACAAUCGGGCAUUUGAGUGUCUCUCAUCAAAAAGCUUUACCUGUGAUAAAAACCUGACCAAGAAUUUUUCCAUUUUGGUUGACUACGAAACAAGGUGCCUUCAGCUUGGAGAGUUUAACUUUGAUGUUAAAAAUGCAGACGUCAUCCGUUGUGAAGUUUCACCAUAUGUCACACAAGAUGGUAACUUCAAUGAUGGCCCGACCGACCUUAAAGGCAA